This 611-nucleotide ribosomal RNA is filed under the name Cryptococcus sp. KCTC 17065. Its description in RNAcentral is "eukaryotic LSU rRNA". It matches the Rfam family "Eukaryotic large subunit ribosomal RNA", at positions 47 to 648 of the family's 3401-position model. The record is from RNAcentral. Lineage: Eukaryota; Fungi; Basidiomycota; Tremellomycetes; Tremellales; Cryptococcaceae.
UAAGCGGAGGAAAAGAAACUAACUAGGAUUCCCUUAGUAACGGCGAGUGAACCGGGAUGAGCUCAAAUUUGAAAUCUGGCGUCUUUCAGGCGUCCGAGUUGUAAUCUAUAGAGGCGUUUUCCGCGCCGGACCGCGUCCAAGUCUCUUGGAAUAGAGUAUCAAAGAGGGUGACAAUCCCGUACUUGACGCGACAACCGGUGCUCUGUGAUACGUUCUCAAUGAGUCGAGUUGUUUGGGAAUGCAGCUCUAAAUGGGUGGUAAAUUCCAUCUAAGGCUAAAUAUUGGCGAGAGACCGAUAGCGAACAAGUACCGUGAGGGAAAGAUGAAAAGCACUUUGGAAAGAGAGUUAAACAGCACGUGAAAUUGUUAAAAGGGAAACGAUUGAAGUCAGUCGUGUGAGGGGUAUUCAGCCGUCUCUGGCGGUGUAUUUGCCUCUCACGGGUCAACAUCAGUUUGAUCCGGUAGAAAAAGGCGGGAGGAAGGUGGCACCCUCGGGUGUGUUAUAGCCUCCUGUCAUAUGUGCCGGACCAGACUGAGGAACGCAGCUUGCAGCAAUGCCGGGAUUCGUCCACGUACAAGCUUAGGAUGUUGACAUAAUGGCUUUAAACGAC